This is a long non-coding RNA of Callithrix jacchus (white-tufted-ear marmoset), 360 nucleotides long. RefSeq lists it as uncharacterized. The record is from RefSeq and is a predicted model, not a curated record. Lineage: Eukaryota; Metazoa; Chordata; Mammalia; Primates; Cebidae.
CCUCUCCGAGUCACUUACGAAGUCCGGGAAGGACUCCGGGCCCUGCCCCUGGAGGGGAGGGGGCACUCCUGGACCACGCCUGUCCCAGCCAAGGGACGACCCCUCUGCAGCUGAGGACCCUAUGAAGUUGGCACUGGGAGCCUAAUCCUUAGGUCAUUUCCUAGUCUUUUGGGGUUCCUUGAGGGCAACAUCUGCUGAGGAGUCCCCGCAGGACCGCUACAGGGUAAGAGGUGACACUUCGUCCUCUGGCGGCUGGCCGCUGUCAGAGUCCACCGAGGCGCUGGUGAUGAUGAUGGGAACCUUGGCCUUGAGGCUGGCCAGGGACCAGGGCAGGUGCACGGUGACAGCCAGCUCGUAGCG